CCUGGUGAUUGGAGCGGCGUGGCCCCACCUCUGCCCAUUCCGAACAGAGAAGUGAAACGCGCCAGCGCCGAUGAUAGUGAUCCGGAAGCGGUUCGCGAAAGUAGGUCAUUGCCAGGG
Molecule: ribosomal RNA, 117 nt
Filed under: Candidatus Chisholmbacteria bacterium RIFCSPHIGHO2_01_FULL_48_12
Lineage: Bacteria; Candidatus Chisholmiibacteriota
Source: RNAcentral